RNAcentral lists this transfer RNA (64 nucleotides) under Leptogaster cylindrica. RNAcentral describes it as "tRNA-Tyr". It matches the Rfam family "tRNA". Rfam says of the family: Transfer RNA (tRNA) molecules are approximately 80 nucleotides in length. Their secondary structure includes four short double-helical elements and three loops (D, anti-codon, and T loops). Lineage: Eukaryota; Metazoa; Arthropoda; Insecta; Diptera; Asilidae. The record is from RNAcentral.
GAUUAAAUGGCUGAAAAUAGGUAAUAGAUUGUAAAUCUAUGUAUGAAGGUUACUUCUUUAAUCA